RNAcentral lists this ribosomal RNA (378 nucleotides) under uncultured Desulfotomaculum sp. Its description in RNAcentral is "bacterial SSU rRNA". It matches the Rfam family "Bacterial small subunit ribosomal RNA", at positions 1011 to 1382 of the family's 1533-position model. Lineage: Bacteria; Bacillati; Bacillota; Clostridia; Eubacteriales; Desulfotomaculaceae. The record is from RNAcentral.
GCCUUCCGGGAGUUACUUUCGGACAGAAAGACAGGUGGUGCAUGGUUGUCGUCAGCUCGUGUCGUGAGAUGUUGGGUUAAGUCCCGCAACGAGCGCAACCCCUACGGUUAGUUGCUAACGGGUAAGGCCGAGCACUUUAGCCGAACUGCCGUUGACAAAACGGAGGAAGGCGGGGAUGACGUCAAAUCAUCAUGCCCUUUAUGUCCUGGGCUACACACGUGCUACAAUGGCCUGUACAAAGGGCAGCAAAGGGCAACCCGGAGCAAAUCCCAAAAAACAGGUCUCAGUUCGGAUUGCAGGCUGCAACUCGCCUGCAUGAAGUCGGAAUCGCUAGUAAUCGCAGGUCAGCAUACUGCGGUGAAUACGUUCCCGGGCCUU